GGGCCCGCACAAGCGGUGGAGCAUGUGGUUUAAUUCGAUGAUACGCGAGGAACCUUACCAGGGCUUAAAUGUAAGUUGCAUAAGUUAGAGAUAGCUUUUUCUUCGGACUACUUACAAGGUGCUGCAUGGUUGUCGUCAGCUCGUGCCGUGAGGUGUCAGGUUAAGUCCUAUAACGAGCGCAACCCCUGUUGUUAGUUGCCAUCGAGUCAUGUCGGGAACUCUAACAAGACUGCCGGUGCAAACCGUGAGGAAGGUGGGGAUGACGUCAAAUCAUCACGGCCCUUACGUCCUGGGCUACACACGUGCUACAAUGGCCGGUACAGAGAGCAGCCACUACGCGAGUAGGCGCGAAUCUUCAAAGCCGGUCUCAGUUCGGAUCGGAGUCUGCAACUCGACUGCGUGAAGUCGGAAUC
Molecule: ribosomal RNA, 413 nt
Filed under: uncultured bacterium
Lineage: Bacteria
Description: bacterial SSU rRNA
Rfam family: Bacterial small subunit ribosomal RNA
Source: RNAcentral